This 318-nucleotide ribosomal RNA is filed under the name Triticum aestivum (bread wheat). RNAcentral's name for it is "partial small subunit ribosomal RNA". Lineage: Eukaryota; Viridiplantae; Streptophyta; Magnoliopsida; Poales; Poaceae. The record is from RNAcentral.
AUGGAGGAUGCCGUGUAUGGCGGGCCGGCCAAUGGCGGUAGAAUUUCUCCGGGUCCAAGAACAGCAAGGGCGAGGAGGAGGGCAGCGUGGUGUCUAUCAGCCUGUCCAGAACGUCAUGAAGAACUUGCCCAACCCGUCGGCGUCUCAAGAUCAUUUAACCUGGCGGCGACUCUAGCUCGCGCCCGCCGCAUCAGUCUCAUGCCCGCCAGGCCAUCGGCGCCCCUUCGAAGACAACGCGAUGACGCACUCCAGCUCCCUGCCGCUCGACCUCAAUGUGAACUGCAGGAGGACGAUUGCUCGGUGGUUGUCUCGUCCUAG